This 253-nucleotide ribosomal RNA is filed under the name uncultured bacterium. Its description in RNAcentral is "partial 16S ribosomal RNA". It matches the Rfam family "Bacterial small subunit ribosomal RNA", at positions 524 to 776 of the family's 1533-position model. The record is from RNAcentral.
UACGUAGGGUGCGAGCGUUGCCCGGAUUUAUUGGGCGUAAAGGGCGCGUAGGCGGCCACGCACGUCCGUUGUGAAAUCGCCCGGCUCAACUGGGCGGGGUCGGCGGAUACGGCGUGGCUGGAGCAAGCUAGGGGGCAAUGGAAUUCCCGGUGUAGUGGUGGAAUGCGUAGAGAUCGGCAGGAGCACCCAGGGAGAAAUCAGCCGCCUGGGCAAGUGCUGACGCUGAGGUGCGAAAGCGUGGGGAGCGAACCGG